Molecule: non-coding RNA, 2055 nt
Organism: Malus domestica (apple)
Lineage: Eukaryota; Viridiplantae; Streptophyta; Magnoliopsida; Rosales; Rosaceae
Source: RefSeq, a predicted model, not a curated record
AUGGCUUUUGUCACCCUCGGGUGUCGGCCAACACGUGUUUAUCCUAGUAUUCGGGGAAUAUCAGGAUCAGAGCGUGUCAAGAUAGAUCCCAAUGCUGAAACUUGGGUGAUAGCUUAUGUAGUUAUCAAGAUGGAGAACAAAGAUUCCUGGAUUUGGUUCUUGGAGAUUCUGGUUGAGGAUAUUGGGAUUAUAAAUCAACAUGGUUGGAUAUUCAUUAGUGAUAAGCAGAAGGGUUUAAUUCUUGCAUUCUUGGUGGUUUUUCCUGAUUGUCACCAUAGGUUUUGUGUGCGGCAUUUGUACAUAAAUUAUAGAGAACAGUUUAAGGGUAAGGCAUUGAAGGAUGAUUUAUGGGUUGUUGCCAAGACCACUACAAUUCCAUACUUUAGAAGAGCCAUGGAAGAGCUUAGAUUGUUGAACGAAGAUGCAUAUGAUUGGCUCAUGAAGAUACCUGUCAUUAACUGGAGUUGGUCUAAUUUUCAAAUGCAUACCAAGUGUUAAAUGUUGCUGAACAACUUGUGUGAAAGUUUCAAUACCGUGAUCGUGAUGGCAAGGUCCAAGCCAAUUGUAACCAUGCUUCAGAUCAUUCAUAUCAUGUUGAUGAAAAUGAUUCAAAUCAAAUGAGAAGAGAUAGUAUGAUGAGACAACCUGAAGAUUUGUGCCCUAAGAUUAAGAAGAAGUUGGAGGAUGAAAAAAUGGAUAAUGGUCGAUUUAUUGCUCAAUGGUCUGGUGGGACUAAAUUCCAAGUGGAAGCUGAAGGAGGUGACCAAUAUGUUGUUGACUUGACUGAAUAUACAUGUUCAUGUCGAAGAUAUGACCUCACCGGUAUUCCAUGCAACCAUGCCAUUGCUACCAUUAAUUAUAAGAGGGAGAAGCCAGAAAACUAUAUGGAUGUUUGUUAUUCCAAGGUCAUGUACUUGGAAAUAUAUGGACACUUAAUUUAGCCAAUGAAUGGAAUGUCAAUGUAGGAGAUCACUGAAAAUCCACCUAUCCAGCCUCUUCUAUAUACUAGACAACCUGGAAGACCCAAGAAGAAGAGAAACAACGAGGCUAUAGAAAUGGAGAAACAAGCAAAUCCUAGACAAAGUGAAGCCACUAACAGAAGUGGAGAUAUUCCACAACCACAAUAGCUCUCAAGGAAAAACCUUUAAUCUUGUAUCUUCCUCUUGUCUUGUCUUGUAUAGAGAUAUUCCACAGCCACUAACAGAAGUGGAGAUAUUUCACCUCUUGUCUUGUAUCUUCCUACAAGACAAGAGGUGAAAUAUAACCUUUUACAAAGUUAUAUGAUUUCUAAGUUGAUUUAAGACUUUAUUACUCCAAAAAUCCUUUAAUUUGUUUUAGGCAUCAAGUUCUGCACAUGGAGCAUAUAGUAAUCCAGGUGGUGUACCAAGGAAAAGGGGAACGAAAUCCAAGAUAAGUAUUGUUUCACUUGUUUUAUUAAUGAACUUGUGGCCUGUAUUGUGAUAACUUAGGGAUUCUUUUGUAUUCAUUAGAUGUGGAUAUUCUUUUGUGAUAACUUGUGGCCUAUAUUGUUGUUGAUUUGGAUAUUAUUGUACUAAACAUUGGAUGUAGGCAUCAAGCACAGUUGGAGGAGGUAAUUCAGAGGUUCAAACAGAUGGAAGAGUGAAGAAGAGAAAGACAAGGCAUCAAGCAUAGUUGGAUGAGGUAAUUUAGAGGUUCAAACAAAUUGAGGAGUGAAGAAGAGAAAGACAAGGCAACCAAGAAAGUGAAAAGCGUUGCCAUACAAGAACAAAUUGGCUUUUUUGAUGUUGGAAUUUUUGCUAGUGGCUUGAAUUUUUUGUGAAUGUUGGCAACAGCUAGGAACUAUUUUUUUGCUUAGUUAGGAACUGUUAUUUUGCUCCCAAUUGGAUUUGUAGCUUAUUAGGAACUGUUAUUUUGAUAGUGGUUGGAUAUCCUUUUGGGAACAUGCUAGCUUGUUAGGUUAGGAAUUGUUAUUUCCAGUUGAACUCCUAGAUGUUAGCUUUAGUUGCCAAUAUAUGGAGCAUGCUUGUUAUUUUCAAUUGAACUCUUGUGAAAUAUAUUGCUAAUUUAGUUGCC